This is a long non-coding RNA of Medicago truncatula (barrel medic), 1090 nucleotides long. RefSeq lists it as uncharacterized. The record is from RefSeq and is a predicted model, not a curated record. The transcript has 3 exons. Lineage: Eukaryota; Viridiplantae; Streptophyta; Magnoliopsida; Fabales; Fabaceae.
UCAAAAUCUUGAGUUCUUCAUCUCAAAUUCGAAAUCCAAUUCUUCUCUCAUGUCCGAUUCAAACCUCCAAGCGAAUAUGAAGAGUAACCCUCGAAUCGAACCUAAUCUCAUUCACUGUGCGUGUCCCCUUUAUCCUUGCUCAAAUCCGUUCCCAAUUUCGUUAAACCUAGUCUCAGGUCAGAUCUGCUUCUUCACUUCAUCUUUCAUCCGGAAAAAGAGACAAUCCAAACAAAAUGAAAAACAGUGAAAAUGGCAGCUCAAUGUUUUUGAAGCUACAUGCUCAAUCUGAUUGGAAGAAAAAGGUCUAUCUUUUGAUUCUUGUGUUCCUCUUUUGAAUAUUCAAGGGUAACAAGAAAAGCAAAUAUGUUGUACAAUGGGCACUUAACAAGUUUGUUCCAGAGUUAUCGACAUAUUUGUUGGCAUUUGUGUAUCUGCCUGCUUUUCUGCAGUCUGAUCAGAGUUAGUGAAAGGUGGUUUCACCUGCAACCUUUACUACUAUAGGGCCUUGAAGAAGUUAAUAGGUGCUGCUGGUGUGGUUUUCGAUUUUCUGCUAAUUUUCGCAGGCCAAUGUUAGUCUUCUGCUGCCUUGCGGUUGGUUUACUCGGUGUUCCAAUUAUGUUUGGUUUUGGAAGGGUUGGGGGCUGUUUAGUUCGGCAUUCUAUCUAAGUUUGGGGAAAUCUGCUGUUGGCAGCAGUGCUGGGUUUCUGUCCUGGCAGCAGAUAGGGAGUUUGCAUGUUACAGGGACUCCUUGUGAUAGGGAUUUUGAUGCAGAGGUAUGCUUUCGGUUUUCUAUUGUCCGUUGGUAUACUUCGGCCUCAUUAUUUAGAAUCGUUUUGGGAGCUUGGGUUGUUGGUGUUCCGUAUAUUUGCGGCGCCAUUUGUAUCUGUUUCUUUGUUUUUUCCGUGAGUGUUUUGCGUCUUGCAAUUCUCGUCGAGAAUAAAAUUGUCGUUUAAAAAAAAUGCGACAAAAUGUAAAUAUUCUAUUUUAGUUCGACUGUCAUGUGCGUUGUGCGAAUUAUGUAUGUGAUAUUUUUGUCUUUAGACUGAAAUUAGAACUCAAAAUUGAAAAACAAAUGACUUUUUAGCAUCAA